RNAcentral lists this ribosomal RNA (425 nucleotides) under uncultured bacterium. RNAcentral describes it as "bacterial SSU rRNA". It matches the Rfam family "Bacterial small subunit ribosomal RNA", at positions 355 to 796 of the family's 1533-position model. The record is from RNAcentral.
UGGGGAAUCUUGCGCAAUGGGCGAAAGCCUGACGCAGCAACGCCGCGUGGGGGAUGAAGGCUCUCGGGUCGUAAACCCCUUUCAGUGGGAACGAAAUUGACGGUACCCACAGAAGAAGGACCGGCCAACUACGUGCCAGCAGCCGCGGUAACACGUAGGGUCCGAGCGUUGUCCGGAUUUAUUGGGCGUAAAGGGCCCGUAGGCGGCUUGAUAAGUCGGGUGUGAAAACUCCAGGCUCAACCUGGAGACGCCACCCGAUACUGUCAUGGCUUGAGUCUGGUAGGGGAGUGCGGAAUUCCUGGUGUAGCGGUGAAAUGCAUAGAUAUCAGGAGGAACACCGGUGGCGAAGGCGGCACUCUGGGCCAGUACUGACGCUGAUGGGCGAAAGCGUGGGGAGCAAACAGGAUUAGAUACCCCCGUAGUCC